GGGAAUGUAGCUCAGUGGUAGAACGCUUGCCUAGCAUUCAUGAGGCUCUGGGUUCAAUCCCUAGCACCA
This 69-nucleotide transfer RNA is filed under the name Marmota marmota marmota (Alpine marmot). It matches the Rfam family "tRNA". From Rfam's summary of the family: Transfer RNA (tRNA) molecules are approximately 80 nucleotides in length. RNAcentral also lists the same sequence under 2 other names. Lineage: Eukaryota; Metazoa; Chordata; Mammalia; Rodentia; Sciuridae. The record is from Rfam by way of RNAcentral.